GUGCUCGCUUCAGCAGCACUUAUACUAAAAUUGGAACAAUACAGAGAUUAGCAUGGCACCUGCACAAGAAUGACACGCAAAUUCAUGAAGCAUUCCGUAUUUUU
This is a small nuclear RNA of Otolemur garnettii (small-eared galago), 104 nucleotides long. Lineage: Eukaryota; Metazoa; Chordata; Mammalia; Primates; Galagidae. The record is from Ensembl.